UACGGCCCAGCUCCAACUCUCCGGAAGGAACAGGACGCCGCGCCGGCCCCGGCGGCGGCGAUUUGGUUCGCAACCGCGGGCAUACCUCUCCCGCCCGUUAAUUUCUCCUUGACCGCUUCGACGUCCUUGCCGGGAAAGCAAGGAGAGUAUUAUCUGAGAAACACAAAGCCCUUUUGGAUCUUUGGACACUUCAUUAGGAAAGAAUGAUGAAGACUGCAAGAACACUAGCUGCUGAAUAAAUGGUGAGAAAAUGUAAUCACUUCGCCUCUGUGAAAACUCCACCGGCUUGGAUGAUCAUAACCAGGAUCUUUCACCUGUCAUCACUUCACA
Brachypodium distachyon (stiff brome) is the source of this 330-nucleotide long non-coding RNA. RefSeq lists it as uncharacterized. NCBI's taxonomy places the organism in Eukaryota, Viridiplantae, Streptophyta, Magnoliopsida, Poales, Poaceae. The record is from RefSeq and is a predicted model, not a curated record. The transcript has 3 exons.